RNAcentral lists this long non-coding RNA (757 nucleotides) under Oryza sativa aus subgroup. Its description in RNAcentral is "lncRNA OsN22_06G013530". Lineage: Eukaryota; Viridiplantae; Streptophyta; Magnoliopsida; Poales; Poaceae. The record is from RNAcentral.
GCUUACACCGUCGUUUUUGCUCCCUUUUGGCUGCCUGUGCUGCCGCGUUCGAUUCGCCGCUGCUUGGUCUCGUUUGGUUCCAUCCGCUAUGGCAGAGGGCCGGGAUUUGCACGGCGUGGAUCGCUGCUUCCAUGGUUCUUGAACCUGUUCAUCAGCACAGCAAAGGUCUUCCGCGGCGGCAGCUCGCGUGCGGACCCCCCUGUCUUUCCUUCGCUUUCUGGAUCGACUCGUUCGUGUCUUCUCUGUCUCGUCCUCCUCUCGUACUUGCUUCGUCCUUGUUGUCCCACGGCGUUCGCGGGCCUCUUCGUCCGAGGCGCUAUGUUUACUGUGAACACGUCGCACAUCCUGCUUCUGAAUGUAGCCACGGAACGCUGCAUGCUUCCACCGCCCUAUUAUCUAUGGGAGUUUGACUCAGGCGAUAGGUUGUUGGCUGGAAUUGAGCUUGUCUUCCCAGCAUAUGCAGCCCCAGCUUAGUUAGACACCGUUUUUCUCUGGUCUGUAGCCUGUGACCCUCUCCAGAGCGUGCACGAGCCUGCAGCCAUGGAGGCUGUCAGGUACCUGCAGCGGCAAUAUGGUUUUCUUGUGCGCGACUAUAAUUUCCAAUCUAUGUUAGCAUAUAGAACGAUAGCAAAGUGUGCUGUUGAGACUGCGUUGUUGGCUUGUGGGUGUAUCACGCGAUAUAGAUCGUGCUGCUCACACACGCCUCCACGUUGUGAUGAUAUCAUUCAGUCGUGUGCUUCGCUGUGGUUUAAUCUUU